AAAGCUUGGAAUUCUUGGAAUGUAGAACUAAUGUCAAUAAUUGCAAUAUAGAACGAUCGUAAAGCAAAAAGAAAGAAAAUAAGAACACAUAGAUUUUACGUGAAAAACCCUUUUGGGAAAAAAUUACGGGUAGAGGAGAAAAAAAUUCAUUAAUGUCAAUUUCGAAUGAUAUAAAGGCGUUUAGACUACAUUUAUUAUAGGUUAAAAAAAUCUUAUUCUA
This 220-nucleotide long non-coding RNA is filed under the name Gossypium barbadense (sea-island cotton). RNAcentral describes it as "long non-coding RNA (GBAR_LNC011916)". The record is from RNAcentral. Lineage: Eukaryota; Viridiplantae; Streptophyta; Magnoliopsida; Malvales; Malvaceae.